CCUUUUUUUUUAAAACGAGCCAUCUUCUUCAAGAUGACCAUUCUGCUUCAUCUUCCUGGGCUUCACAGUCAAGGCGGGCUUCACGGGCCUUUUGGCGUGCCUCCUCAUAAGUGGCUUCAGACACGACGCCAGCAUCCCACAGCCUCAUGUACACAUCGAGCUGAGCCUCGACGUACGUCCAAAGCUCACGAGCAGGACCAAAGGAAGCGGCCUAAUCCCUCA
RNAcentral lists this long non-coding RNA (222 nucleotides) under Nicotiana benthamiana. RNAcentral's name for it is "long non-coding RNA (NBEN_LNC040703)". The record is from RNAcentral. Lineage: Eukaryota; Viridiplantae; Streptophyta; Magnoliopsida; Solanales; Solanaceae.